UACGUAGGUGGCAAACGUUGUCCGGAUUCAUUGGGCGUAAAGAGCUCGUAGGCGGUUCGAUAAGUCGGGUGUGAAACCUCCAGGCUCAACCUGGAGACGCCACCCGAUACUGUCGUGACUAGAGUCCAGUAGGGGAGCGUGGAAUUCCUGGUGUAGCGGUGAAAUGCGCAGAUACCAGGAGGAACACCAGCGGCGAAGGCGGCGCUCUGGGCUGGCACUGACGCUGAGGAGCGAAAGCGUGGGGAGCAAACAGG
RNAcentral lists this unclassified non-coding RNA (254 nucleotides) under uncultured Acidimicrobiia bacterium. RNAcentral's name for it is "contains 16S-23S intergenic spacer region". It matches the Rfam family "Bacterial small subunit ribosomal RNA", at positions 524 to 776 of the family's 1533-position model. The record is from RNAcentral. Lineage: Bacteria; Bacillati; Actinomycetota; Acidimicrobiia.